RNAcentral lists this unclassified non-coding RNA (393 nucleotides) under soil metagenome. RNAcentral's name for it is "partial contains 5.8S ribosomal RNA, internal transcribed spacer 2, and large subunit ribosomal RNA". The stretch from base 1 to 122 matches the Rfam family "5.8S ribosomal RNA", at positions 35 to 154 of the family's 154-position model. The record is from RNAcentral.
GAUGAAGAACGUAGUGAAAUGCGAUACUUGGUGUGAAUUGCAGAAUCCCGUGAACCAUCGAGUCUUUGAACGCAAGUUGCGCCCGAAGCCAUCAGGUUGAGGGCACGUCUGCCUGGGCGUCAUAUCGUUGCCCAAUGCCUAUUGCAGUGCAAUAGGAAUUUCUAGGGCGAAUGAUGGCUUCCCGUGAGCGUUGUUGCCUCGCGGUUGGUUGAAAAUCGAGUCCUUGGUAGGGUGUGCCAUGGUAGAUGGUGGUCGAGUUAGAACGAUACCGAUCAUGUGCAUGCUCCCCAAAAUAUGGCCUCUAUGACCCACACGCGUCUUUUGACGCUCAUGACGAGACCUCAGGUCAGGCGGGGCUACCCGCUGAAUUUAAGCAUAUCAAUAAGCGGAGGA